CAAAGGAUAGUUUAAUUGUAGGAUUCCGGUUUUGGGGACCGGGGAUGAAGGUUUAAGUCCUU
This 62-nucleotide transfer RNA is filed under the name Chelonia mydas (Green sea turtle). RNAcentral's name for it is "partial tRNA-Pro". It matches the Rfam family "tRNA", at positions 1 to 62 of the family's 71-position model. Rfam says of the family: Transfer RNA (tRNA) molecules are approximately 80 nucleotides in length. The record is from RNAcentral. Lineage: Eukaryota; Metazoa; Chordata; Testudines; Cheloniidae.